CACGUAGGGGGCGAGCGUUGUCCGGAUUUAUUGGGCGUAAAGAGCUCGUAGGCGGCUCUGUAAGUCAGGUGUGAAACCUCCAGGCUCAACCUGGAGACGCCACCCGAGACUGCUAUGACUUGAGUCUGGUAGGGGAUCACGGAAUUCCUGGUGUAGCGGUGAAAUGCAUAGAUAUCAGGAGGAACACCGGUGGCGAAGGCGGUGAUCUGGGCCAGUACUGACGCUGAGGAGCGAAAGCGUGGGGAGCGAACAGG
Molecule: ribosomal RNA, 254 nt
Filed under: uncultured bacterium
Lineage: Bacteria
Description: partial 16S ribosomal RNA
Rfam family: Bacterial small subunit ribosomal RNA
Source: RNAcentral